GUCUACGGCCAUGACGCCCUGAACAAGCCCGAUCGCGGCUGAUCUCGGAAGCAAAGCAGGGUCGGGCCUGGUUAGUCCUUGGAUGGGAGACCACCUAGGAAGACUAGGUGCUCUAGGUG
RNAcentral lists this ribosomal RNA (119 nucleotides) under Pteropus alecto (black flying fox). Lineage: Eukaryota; Metazoa; Chordata; Mammalia; Chiroptera; Pteropodidae. The record is from RNAcentral.